This 73-nucleotide transfer RNA is filed under the name Fidelibacterota bacterium. RNAcentral's name for it is "tRNA-Trp". It matches the Rfam family "tRNA". From Rfam's summary of the family: Transfer RNA (tRNA) molecules are approximately 80 nucleotides in length. Their secondary structure includes four short double-helical elements and three loops (D, anti-codon, and T loops). Further hydrogen bonds mediate the characteristic L-shaped molecular structure. tRNAs have two regions of fundamental functional importance: the anti-codon, which is responsible for specific mRNA codon recognition, and the 3' end, to which the tRNAs corresponding amino acid is attached (by aminoacyl-tRNA synthetases). tRNAs cope with the degeneracy of the genetic code in two manners: having more than one tRNA (with a specific anti-codon) for a particular amino acid; and 'wobble' base-pairing, i.e. permitting non-standard base-pairing at the 3rd anti-codon position. The record is from RNAcentral. Lineage: Bacteria; Pseudomonadati; Fidelibacterota.
AGGAGAGUAGCUCAAUUGGUAGAGCACCGGCCUCCAAAGCCGGGGGUUGCGGGUUCGAUCCCUGCCUCUCCUG